AUUUUCUGAUUUGAAUUCCUUUGUUAGGGGAAUUAGAAAACCAACUAUUGUUUUUUUGAAAAUG
RNAcentral lists this transfer RNA (64 nucleotides) under Porites rus. Its description in RNAcentral is "tRNA-Asn". Lineage: Eukaryota; Metazoa; Cnidaria; Anthozoa; Scleractinia; Poritidae. The record is from RNAcentral.